Molecule: transfer RNA, 76 nt
Filed under: Chloroflexota bacterium
Lineage: Bacteria; Bacillati; Chloroflexota
Also listed under: 1 other name
Description: Chloroflexi bacterium tRNA-Pro
Rfam family: tRNA
About the family: Transfer RNA (tRNA) molecules are approximately 80 nucleotides in length. Their secondary structure includes four short double-helical elements and three loops (D, anti-codon, and T loops).
Source: RNAcentral
CGGGGUGUGGCGCAGUUGGUAGCGCGCAUGGUUUGGGACCAUGAGGUCCGCGGUUCAAGUCCGCGCACCCCGACCA